ACGAACGCUGGCGGCAUGCCUAACACAUGCAAGUCGAACGAGACCUUCGGGUCUAGUGGCGCACGGGUGCGUAACGCGUGGGAACCUGCCCUUAGGUUCGGAAUAACUCCCCGAAAGGGGUGCUAAUACCGGAUAAUGUCUUCGGACCAAAGAUUUAUCGCCUUUGGAUGGGCCCGCGUUGGAUUAGCUAGUUGGUAGGGUAAAAGCCUACCAAGGCGACGACCCAUAGCUGGUCUGAGAGGAUGAUCAGCCACACUGGGACUGAGACACGGCCCAGACUCCUACGGGAGGCAGCAGGGGGGAAUAUGGGACAAUGGGCGAAAGCCUGAUCCAGCAAGGCCGCGGGAGUGAUGAAGGCCUAGGGUUGUAAAGCUCUUUUACCCGGGAUGAUAAUGACAGUACCGGGAGAAUAAGCUCCGGCUAACUCCGUG
RNAcentral lists this ribosomal RNA (431 nucleotides) under uncultured bacterium. RNAcentral's name for it is "partial 16S ribosomal RNA". It matches the Rfam family "Bacterial small subunit ribosomal RNA", at positions 29 to 507 of the family's 1533-position model. The record is from RNAcentral.